This is a non-coding RNA of Sutterella wadsworthensis 2_1_59BFAA, 171 nucleotides long. The record is from Rfam. NCBI's taxonomy places the organism in Bacteria, Pseudomonadati, Pseudomonadota, Betaproteobacteria, Burkholderiales, Sutterellaceae.
UGCGUCGCGAGGCGUAGGCUGAAAGAAGCUGGAGGCAAACCCUUGAGCUGAUGAACAAGAACCUCAUCAGGCAUACGACGGCGGAUAAGCUCGCAAGGCAGAGUGAAGUCCGACAACUGCACGGAGCCGUUGGUGUAAAUGAGGCAGCUGCAUGAGGGGAAAGAGCGUGUU